RNAcentral lists this ribosomal RNA (493 nucleotides) under uncultured bacterium. Its description in RNAcentral is "partial 16S ribosomal RNA". It matches the Rfam family "Bacterial small subunit ribosomal RNA", at positions 28 to 506 of the family's 1533-position model. The record is from RNAcentral.
GACGAACGCUGGCGGCGUGCUUAACACAUGCAAGUCGAACGGUGAAGCGCCUUCCUUUUUGGUGGGUGUGGAUGAGUGGCGAACGGGUGAGUAACACGUGAGUAACCUGCCCCCUUCUUCUGGAUAACCGCAUGAAAGUGUGGCUAAUACGGGAUAUUCUGGGUCUGUCGCAUGAUGGGUCUGGGAAAGAUAUUGUUUCGGUGGGGGAUGGGCUCGCGGCCUAUCAGCUUGUUGGUGGGGUGAUGGCCUACCAAGGCGGUGACGGGUAGCCGGCCUGAGAGGGCGGCCGCACCCGCGGGGAGACAGGCACGGGCCAGCCUCGGGAGGGAGGAGGCGGGGGGGUAGAUCGAUGGGCGGGAGCAAGCCGGAGGAAGGCCGGCCGCGUGAGGGAGGGCGGCUGUGGGGUGGGGACCCUUUUUCGCGAGGAACAAAGGCCUGCCUCUGUUGGGGGGGGUUGGCGGGUACUUAGAAAAAAAGCCCGGCUAAAUUCGGU